GUCUCAGAUGAUGCCUCCCAGAGCUUGCCUGGGGACAGAGGCAGCCACGCCUCCCCCCUCCUGAGGUGUCAGGAAGCCUCCCCGAACCGCUCCGUCCUCGCACUACCAUGUUCCUGCUCUGCCCUGGUGAACCCUUUGUCACUGCUCCUCUCUGCUGAGUUGUCACUGUCUUUCUCCAGCCAACUGCUCCUCCAGGAUAGGGCUCAUGCCCACACCCAGCACAAGCCAGGCCUGGGGUGGGGGACCCCAUUUGGGAAGUCCCCUCUCCCUAUGAGCAGACGAACAAGGGUUCCAGAGUGAGUGCCCAGGCCGGGGACCCCAGCACUACCAGGUCUGUCCAAUGAGAGAACCUGGAAGCAAGGACACUCCAGUAGCAGCGAGGACCCCAGCUUUGGCAUCUGCAUAUCUUCCUCCUCUAGGGGUCCAGGGGUUCCUGACUGAUUGCAAAGGCUGGGGCAGGGAAA
Molecule: long non-coding RNA, 464 nt
Organism: Callorhinus ursinus (northern fur seal)
Lineage: Eukaryota; Metazoa; Chordata; Mammalia; Carnivora; Otariidae
Source: RefSeq, a predicted model, not a curated record